GACGAACGCUGGCGGCGUGCUUAACACAUGCAAGUCGAGCGGUAAGGCCCUUCGGGGUACACGAGCGGCGAACGGGUGAGUAACACGUGGGUGACCUGCCUCUAGCUCUGGGAUAAGCCUGGGAAACUGGGUCUAAUACCGGAUAUGACUCCACGGCGCAUGUUGUGGGGUGGAAAGCCUUGUGUGGCUAGAGAUGGGCCCGCGGCCUAUCAGCUUGUUGGUGGGGGAUGGCCUACCAAGGCGACGACGGGUAGCCGGCCUGAGAGGGCGACCGGCCACACUGGGACUGAGACACGGCCCAGACUCCUACGGGAGGCAGCAGUGGGGAAUCUUGCGCAAUGGGCGAAAGCCUGACGCAGCGACGCCGCGUGAGGGAUGAC
RNAcentral lists this ribosomal RNA (380 nucleotides) under uncultured bacterium. Its description in RNAcentral is "bacterial SSU rRNA". It matches the Rfam family "Bacterial small subunit ribosomal RNA", at positions 28 to 412 of the family's 1533-position model. The record is from RNAcentral.